AGCGAACGCUGGCGGCAGGCCUAACACAUGCAAGUCGAACGGAUCCUUCGGGAUUAGUGGCGGACGGGUGAGUAACACGUGGGAACGUGCCCUUUGGUUCGGAACAACUCAGGGAAACUUGAGCUAAUACCGGAUGUGCCCUUCGGGGGAAAGAUUUAUCGCCAUUGGAGCGGCCCGCGUCUGAUUAGCUAGUUGGUGAGGUAACGGCCCACCAAGGCGACGAUCAGUAGCUGGUCUGAGAGGAUGAUCAGCCACACUGGGACUGAGACACGGCCCAGACUCCUACGGGAGGCAGCAGUGGGGAAUCUUGCGCAAUGGGCGAAAGCCUGACGCAGCCAUGCCGCGUGAAUGAUGAAGGUCUUAGGAUUGCAAAAUUCUUUCAGCGGGGACGAUAAUGACGGUACCCGCAGAAGAAGCUCCGGCUAACUUCGUG
RNAcentral lists this ribosomal RNA (433 nucleotides) under uncultured bacterium. RNAcentral describes it as "partial 16S ribosomal RNA". It matches the Rfam family "Bacterial small subunit ribosomal RNA", at positions 29 to 507 of the family's 1533-position model. The record is from RNAcentral.